RNAcentral lists this long non-coding RNA (3053 nucleotides) under Cavia porcellus (domestic guinea pig). RNAcentral describes it as "lncRNA (ENSCPOG00000038585.1)". The record is from RNAcentral. Lineage: Eukaryota; Metazoa; Chordata; Mammalia; Rodentia; Caviidae.
GCUAGGGAAGUUUCUUAUUUCUCCUGCUCUGACUUCCCCCUUUGAUUUAUUAUAGCCAUGAAAUGCUCUACUCUCUUCUCUUUUCCUUGCUGUCUCUUGGGGCUGGAGGAACACAGGCAUCCCUGGGCGUCCGGCCUUGGCCCGCUGCCCCCGUCUCCUCCCGAGGCCAGGGCUCCAGGGCCAGCACAGAGAGACUUGGGCCUCCCUGGACACCAGCCACCAAAGGACCAGGCCCAUCCUGCCUGCACGGAGCCAGCAGCUAUUUACAAACCGAAACCCGGAGGAGCGAAGUGGCUUCGACCCAGGCAGCUCCGGCCCCCACCCCCACUCCCACUCCAUCCCCAGCCGCCCAGCCCCUCGACGGCUUCCGCUUUCCUUCCCAGCACGGCCUCCAACCUCCUGAGGCCCACCUGGCCCUGGACAACCCACAGGCCCCUCACGGUCAUCCCCACCCCCACAACCACCUUUGGGGGUCCCCAUCUCCUUGUCCCGGGAGCUCACCCAUCUGUGCUCCCAGGAGCAGCCCCCUCUCUCGGGCCGGGCCACCCUGGCUGCCCAGCCGCAUUCCCACAGUUCUCAGUUCCCCUUUGCACCUGGAAAGGCUCCAGCCGUGGCCACCACCGCGCCCUGCUGCUGGGCCCUGCUGGACCUCCAUGGUGGACAUGUAGGGUCAAGAGAGUUGGGCCUUCACAGCUCUGGCUUACUCUGGGCUACACUCAGGGUGGCUGGCAGAAUCCGGUUCGGGAUCCCGUAUGGGCCUCGGGUCCCUGUGUGGUGCAGACUUGGCGAGACAGCGAGCAUGGGCCAGGGACACCGCAGCAGGCCCCAAAGCCAGGCAGCAGGUGACACCAGGCUGUCCUUUCGGGUUGAUGUUUCCCUCACCUCUGUCCCGAAGAGAAUGUUCACAUCUGUCUGUUCUGUGCUUGGGAAAAGCCCUUUCUCCUAUCUCUGUCAUUAAGGGGAAACUGAGGCUUGGAAAAGAAGGCAGCAUAGCUAGAAUGUCUGGACUGGGAACCUAGAAUUCAUCAGGAAAAUCUAAGCUCUCUCUGAGUACCCCCAGGUCCAUCUUGUGCCUCAGUGUCCCUGCCGGGAGGGUGGGACCUAUAAGGCAGGGACAGAGCUGCUGGAAGCUUGGCAAAAAGCUGGCCAUGCACCCCAGGGUCUCCCGCUACCCUGCCCAUCCUUCCCCUUGACACCUCCAUCGUGAGGAGUGCCCCAAGCUGGGCCCUGGCUGGCAGAGACUGGAGUCCUGGCCUGCCCUAGCCUCAGAUUCUGAGUCUGAGACGGGUGCAAACUCCAACCGCCGAUGCUGCGCCAGCACCGUGCUGGGUACCAGUGGCUCCAUGGCUAGGACUCAGCCCCUGCCCUGGGGAUCACACAGAUGGACAGGAGCAGCAGGUGAACAUGAAGUCCUAAGAACUUCCAGUGGAUGGAAAAGUCCAACGUGGUUGCUAAUCCCUGUAAUCCCAGCACCCAGGAGGCUGAGACAGGAGGAUUGCCAUAGUUUGAGGCCAACUGGGGCUAAUGAGUUCAAGGCCAGCCUGAACUAUGUAUUAAGACUCUGUCUCACCAAACAAAGAAAAGGAGGAAAGAGAGGCAUAGAUAGAGAGGUGCUCCCGUGGGAGGGCCCUGAAGGACAGGAAGGAGUUGUCCAGCAAUAGCAGUAUGGACAGGCGCUCCACGCUGAGUCACACUCUCAUGCCUUGGCUUUGAUGUUCUCAUGGCAUGGAGUCCCUUUCAUGUUCUGGGCCUGGUGAACUCCUACCCAUCCAUCAAGGCCCAUGGACACACUGUAGCAUGAGGAGGUCUGGCCUACCCUGGUGACUGCUCAGCUCCUCUUACCGCCUAGCACCUGAACAGACCUGCAGGCCAGGCCUUCCUCACCAGCUCCACCCAGGCAAGUGUCUGCUCCCGGGCUUCGGCCCCCGCCAUCCUGUGCUCCGAAAAGCACCGUUUCCCUUUUCUGGGUGACCACACGCCAUGCACAGGGAAUUUCCAUCGCUGGCUGCGGAGUCUGUGAUUCACUCAGGCCUCCAUGCAGUUAACCCCUUCCGGGCCUGGCCUCCAGAGCCAGGCAGGACCCCUGAACAGCUCUGAUCCCAGCAUCCGCCUCACUGGUCCCCACACCUCAGACGCACAGACCUGGGGCACACACAGCGGCUUUGGGAUAGGAUAAGACGGUCAAAUCCCGAUUCUGUUGAUGGCUGAUGUGUGGCCUGGGGCAGGUGGGAAUGGCUACUUGCAUUCCAUUGCUCAGCUGUAAAGUAGAGAUAAUUCCUACCCAUAAAGUUAGUGACAAGACAUUGUGCUAGAGCCAGGCAGAGAGGCUGAGGCAGGAGGAUCUGAAGUUUGAGGGCAACCUAGGCUACAUAAAGAGACACCAUCAGUGCUGGGUGUAGUGGUACAUGCUUGUCCUAUCCCUCAGGCAGGCGGAUUGCUGUGAGUUUGAGGCCCCCCAACUACAGAGUGAAGUCCUAUCUCAACAAAACAAAACAAGACAAUGUUCUGAGCCCACAGUAGGAGCUCAAGCAUCCUUUUCAUUAAAGGAUGCUGCUCACCAUAGCACAGGGUCCCCACCCCAGACCUGGCCUUCUUCCAGCAGGGAGAGAGAACUCUGGGAGGCAGCGCCCCGGAUCCGCCAUGUCCUCCAAUUCCAGCUUUCCCAGGAGGCCCUGGACAGGCCCCCACGGGCAGGUGCAUCACACACCGCUGCUUUCCCAGCUGGGUUUCAGAGCCCAGGGCACGAGCCCUGCUGUUGCCCUCAUUCUGCGAUUGUGGACACUGAGGCUUGAGCAGCCAGUGAACCUGGAGGCAGGGGCAGGAUUCACAUCUGGGCCUCAGAGCUGCUCUGCCUGGCUCUUCGGGAUGGGAACCUUUGGAGAGGUUGACAUAAGCGUGUGCACUAAUUGGGCCCCUGCUGUGUGCAGGUGAAGGCUUCAGUUCUCAGAGCAGUGCUGCCCAGCACGCCUGGCAUCUCCGCUACAGUCGAGGGGCGCUGGAGCCACAGGGGAAGGAGCUGGGAGCCACAGGGCUCAGCCGUGGGCAGAGACCCA